Papaver somniferum (opium poppy) is the source of this 398-nucleotide long non-coding RNA. RefSeq lists it as uncharacterized. Lineage: Eukaryota; Viridiplantae; Streptophyta; Magnoliopsida; Ranunculales; Papaveraceae. The record is from RefSeq and is a predicted model, not a curated record. The transcript has 3 exons.
CCAUGUUAGGUUUUCUGAUUUGAAGUUGUUGUUGUUUCUUUUGAUUUCUGAGAUCAAGAAGAAUCAUCACUGUUUCGGAAGAAUAGCAACAAAAUCAAGUGAUUUUCAGUUGGGUUGAAGAAUAAUUUAGGAGUAUGUGGAUUCAAUUUUAUAAAUCAGGUGGGAGGACUAGCAGUAGUGGAGAAUACAAAUUUUCUUUCACAUGACAUGCUAUUCUGGUCUCGGUGGUGCACUCAGUUUUAUUAUGUACAGUUUUUCCUAACCCUUCAACUGUCUAUGAGCUAAUAGUAGUGGAGAAUACAAAUUUUUUAUCUCCUAUGUUUAGUUAAUACUGGACGUGGACUUGUAAUGCUUUCAAUUUGAUACAAAUAUAUGUGAAAAUCAUCGUUGUUUUAGUU